This 671-nucleotide long non-coding RNA is filed under the name Malus domestica (apple). Its description in RNAcentral is "long non-coding RNA (MDOM_LNC013301)". The record is from RNAcentral. Lineage: Eukaryota; Viridiplantae; Streptophyta; Magnoliopsida; Rosales; Rosaceae.
CUUCAUUUCACUUCUCCUAUGACUACAAUAGUCAUGGUCCCUAAACUCCCACUAUCUCUCUUGAAACUUAUUUCAAUUGUGUUUAUACACAUUAAACGAUUUGGAGACUGUGCGGUUAAUGUUCACAAUAUAGUUUACUAUAAACUUAGUGAACCAUUUGGAUGGGGACUCAAACGUGAAGUCCUUGCCUAGUUUCUGUCCCUCGAAGUGGUUUAACACUUCAACACUCAAUGAUUCAAAAUCAUCAUAAGUCCAUGUUGAUGGACUAUUUUUGUCAAUCAACCAUUAUGUUCUAUACAUAAUUACAAACUUUCAAGAGUUGUUCAAGGCAACUCUCAUUUCUUUAUACAACAAUUUGUAAGUAAAGAAUCAUGGCACAUAAAGUGUCCAUGCCUUUUGUGCUUACUUCUCAAGUUCCUUGUUCAUUUAACAAAGAAACAAGCACUAGUGUUUGCAUUAACUAAGGGUUGUUCAAAGCAACUCUUAUUUCUUCAUACAACGAUUUGUAAUGGAAGAAUUAUGACAAUAAAAGUGUUGUCCUCUUUAUGAUAGACUUAUCUAACAUGUUCUUCCAAUGAUACAUUAUCAAUAGGAAGAUUGUGAGGAUGAGACUACUUAGGUACAUAUACAAUCCAUUCAAGACAAUCUAUGGGAUUGUGGUACCAAGUCCG